This is a long non-coding RNA of Ictalurus punctatus (channel catfish), 464 nucleotides long. The record is from Ensembl. NCBI's taxonomy places the organism in Eukaryota, Metazoa, Chordata, Actinopteri, Siluriformes, Ictaluridae.
GUGUGUGAUGGAGAAUGUUGGUGUGUGAUGGUGAAUGUUGGUGUGUGUGAUGGAGAAUGUUGGUGUGUGAUGAAUGUUGGUGGUGUGUGUGAUGGAGAAUGUUGGUGUGUGAUGGUGAAUGUUGGUGUGUGUGAUGGAGAAUGUUGGUGUGUGAUGGUGAUGUUGGUGUGUGAUGGUGAAUGUUGGUGUGUGAUGGAGAAUGUUGGUGUGUGUGAUGGUGAAUGUGGUGUGUGUGUGUGAUGGAGAAUGUUGGUGUGUGUGAUGGAGAAUGUUGGUGUGUGUGAUGGUGAAUGUUGGUGUGUGAUGGUGAAUGUUGGUGUGUGUGAUGGAGAAUGUUGGUGUGUGUGAUGGUUGAAUGUUGGUGUGUGAUGGUGAAUGUUGGUGUGUGAUGGAGAUAAUGUUGGUGUGUGAUGGAGAAUGUUGGUGUGUGUGAUGGAGAAUGUUGGUGUGUGAUGGAGAAUGUU